CUUUCAAAAUUCUAGAUCUGCC
This 22-nucleotide microRNA is filed under the name Alligator mississippiensis (American alligator). RNAcentral describes it as "ami-miR-9598-5p". The record is from miRBase by way of RNAcentral. Lineage: Eukaryota; Metazoa; Chordata; Crocodylia; Alligatoridae.